GAUGAACGCUGGCGGCGUGCCUAAUACAUGCAAGUCGAGCGAACAGACGAGGAGCUUGCUCCUCUGACGUUAGCGGCGGACGGGUGAGUAACACGUGGAUAACCUCCCUAUAAGACUGGGAUAACUUCGGGAAACCGGAGCUAAUACCGGAUAAUAUAUUGAACCGCAUGGUUCAAUAGUGAAAGACGGUUUUGCUGUCACUUAUAGUUGGAUCCGCGCCGCAUUAGCUAGUUGGUAAGGUAACGGCUUACCAAGGCAACGAUGCGUAGCCGACCUGAGAGGGGGAUCGGCCACACUGGAACUGAGACACGGUCCAGACUCCUACGGGAGGCAGCAGUAGGGAAUCUGCCGCAAUGGGCGAAAGCCUGACGGAGCAACGCCGCGUGAGUGAUGAAGGUCUUCGGAUCGUAAAACUCUGUUAUUAGGGAAGAACAAAUGUGUAAGUAACUAUGCACGUCUUGACGGUACCUAAUCAGAAAGCCACGGCUAACUACGUG
RNAcentral lists this ribosomal RNA (497 nucleotides) under uncultured bacterium. RNAcentral describes it as "partial 16S ribosomal RNA". It matches the Rfam family "Bacterial small subunit ribosomal RNA", at positions 28 to 507 of the family's 1533-position model. The record is from RNAcentral.